ACGGGUGCGUAACGCGUAUGCAAUCUACCUUUUACAGAGGGAUAGCCCAGAGAAAUUUGGAUUAAUACCUCAUAGUAUAUAGACCUGGCAUCAGGAUUAUAUUAAAGUCACAACGGUAAAAGAUGAGCAUGCGUCCCAUUAGCUAGUUGGUAAGGUAACGGCUUACCAAGGCUACGAUGGGUAGGGGUCCUGAGAGGGAGAUCCCCCACACUGGUACUGAGACACGGACCAGACUCCUACGGGAGGCAGCAGUGAGGAAUAUUGGACAACGGGCGCAAGCCUGAUCCAGCCAUGCCGCGUGCAGGAUGACGGUCCUAUGGAUUGUAAACUGCUUUUAUACGAGAAGAAACACUACUUCGUGAAGUAGCUUGACGGUAUCGUAAGAAUAAGGAUCGGCUAACUCCGUGCCAGCAGCCGCGGUAAUACGGAGGAUCCAAGCGUUAUCCGGAAUCAUUGGGUUUAAAGGGUCCGUAGGCGGUUUAGUAAGUCAGUGGUGAAAGCCCAUCGCUCAACGGUGGAACGGCCAUUGAUACUGCUAAACUUGAAUUAUUAGGAAGUAACUAGAAUAUGUAGUGUAGCGGUGAAAUGC
This 589-nucleotide ribosomal RNA is filed under the name uncultured Flavobacterium sp. RNAcentral's name for it is "bacterial SSU rRNA". It matches the Rfam family "Bacterial small subunit ribosomal RNA", at positions 102 to 689 of the family's 1533-position model. The record is from RNAcentral. Lineage: Bacteria; Pseudomonadati; Bacteroidota; Flavobacteriia; Flavobacteriales; Flavobacteriaceae.